CCUACGGGCGGCAGCAGUGAGGAAUAUUGGUCAAUGGCCGAGAGGCUGAACCAGCCAAGUCGCGUGAAGGAUGACGGCCCUACGGGUUGUAAACUUCUUUUGUAGGGGAGUAAAGAGAGUCACGUGUGACUUUUUGAGAGUACCAGAUGAAAAAGCAUCGGCUAACUCCGUGCCAGCAGCCGCGGUAAUACGGAGGAUGCGAGCGUUAUCCGGAUUUAUUGGGGUUAAAGGGUGCGGAGGUGGGUUGUGAAGUCAGUCGGGAAAGUUUGGGGAUCAACCCUGGACUUGCCGUGGAAACUGCAAGCCUUGAGUACAGUAGAGGUAGGCGGAAUGCGUGGUGUAGCGGUGAAAUGCUUAGAUAUCACGCAGAACUCCGAUUGCGAAGGCAGCAUACCGGAGUGCAACUGACGCUGAUGCUCGAAAGUGUGGGUAUCGAACAGGAUUAGAUACCCCAGUAGUC
This 460-nucleotide ribosomal RNA is filed under the name uncultured bacterium. Its description in RNAcentral is "partial 16S ribosomal RNA". It matches the Rfam family "Bacterial small subunit ribosomal RNA", at positions 338 to 795 of the family's 1533-position model. The record is from RNAcentral.